Molecule: long non-coding RNA, 576 nt
Filed under: Ananas comosus (pineapple)
Lineage: Eukaryota; Viridiplantae; Streptophyta; Magnoliopsida; Poales; Bromeliaceae
Description: long non-coding RNA (ACOM_LNC010653)
Source: RNAcentral
ACCAAAUAUUCCUUAGGAGUUGUUUGAUUGUACGUAAAACCGUAAAAAAUAGUUAUUCAUGGAGAAAAGUUUUCAGUGGAAAAAAAAAGAUUUUCGUUUUUUGGUGUUUGUUUUUUAUGAAAUAGUAGCUUUUUUUACCAACAUUUGUUUGGUUGAAAAGAAAAAACUUCAUAUUUGUUUGGUUCGGUGGAAAAAAUAUAAAAAAAAAAAAUUAUGCAGCUUGAGUUUUCAUUUUAUGUGGAAAAUCGACGUGUUGAGUCAAUUAGACGCGGAUGAGAUUUAUGUGCGAAUAUUUCCUUCAAAAGCAACUAUUCGGCCGUGUAUCGAGAGCACCGGAAAAAUGUAUCGCGCCAACUGAAGAAAGUUACGGUAACCGCAAGCAGUUACAUGCGGUUCCGAUCGGCUAGAAGUUGUCCGGAAUAUGAGGAGAUAGUGGCCGAUCGUGUAAGAACAAUAACUGGCCGAGGGGGUUAUCUAUAAAUAGUGUAAUAAUACCCCAAAAAGAGGUCUUCGCCCCUGUGCACAAAAGACCACUUUUAUUUCCCUGCAUCUUUCUUUCUCGCAUUUACUGCUUGU